AAAACUUUUUCAGUAGAAUAUAUUGAAUUUAAGUGACUUUUAUUGAUUUUUGAUUUUUUUCAAAAAUUAGAGACAUUUUAAAUAGCCAGUGUAAACUUGGCUGAACAUUAGAAUAAUAUAAUGAAAGAACAGAGGUGCUUUAAUUUGGCCAUCACCAUUUUGGGUAAAUACAUGAUUUCUAUGACAAGUUUUCAAAUGUUGCUUAUGCUAGUCUAGAAGUCUUUGAAAUUCCAGGUAGGUAACUGAGAAACUAAAUCAUCAUCAUGAUCCAUUUUACAUAUAAAAUUCAAGUCUAUGUCUCUCUGUUAAUUGGGCAUCUCCUACUUGAUUGAGAAAGAAACUGAGGUCCAUUUCAUUCAAUGAGUAAUGCCCCAGAACUUCAUAAUGAAUACAUUGUAGACUUCCAAGUUCCCAUUCCCGCUCUACAGUUUCUGGACUUCAAUAUGUAACCAGGAUUUAUUUCGAAAUGGAGACAAUUGUGAGUGCUGAUGCAAACAUUAGUAAAACAAUUACUGUAAAAUGGUUAUCCAUAAGAGAUAAAGUAAUACUUUAAAAGUUAAGAAGGAAAUAUGCAAAGACAUUUAACCACGAGACCCGAUCAGAUCGUUCCAUCAACGUGUCCAUUUCAGUCUUGCUGUUUACAUUUCUUCAUACUGAAGGCCUUCAUGGAUGCCACAGUGGAGCGACUCUUCCCUCCUCUUGCCAUCAUCACCCUCCCCAGGAGUUGGAAGGGAUGAGCUCUAUUUCCAGGUUCAGCCGUGUGAUCAUAGAUGGCGGCUGUGUGGUCUUGGAGCUUCAGUCGUAUCAUCUGCAAAGUUGGGACAAAGCUUUCCUAUACAUUUUACAGAACUGCCUGGUUCAAACAAAGCAACGUGUGUAAAAGAUCUUAUUUAAUUACUUAUCAAAGGUUAGUACACCAUGGAAAUCUGAGAGGCUUCAGUUAGACCCAGCAGUUUCUUAGAAGUUCAAAGAGUUAUGUAAUUAAAAGAUGGUUAAUAAAUGAUUAAUUUGGCAAAAUAUUUGAGGUAGUGUUUUACUUUCCCAAAGCGAUCACAUCGGUUAUUUCUGUUUUCUCCUGAUAACAAGAUUGGCCAAGCAGUAAGGUGGCACAGACAUAAUAUUCAUUUCCUUUGUUUUUUAACCAGCUAGUAAAACGUAAGGAAACACUUAUUGGGGCGUGUGCACCUGGUGUCAAUUUUUUCUCUCAACAUUUUAUGAAAUUUUCAAAUAAGUAGAAAAGUUGUAAGACUCUACCAAGAACACCUUCAAACCCAACCACCAUCUAAAUCCUACCACUACGAUUUUGCUGCUUGCUUUAUUGCCAGUCUGCCCGUGUAUCUAUCCUCCCAUCCAUCCAUCCAUUCAUCCCUCUUACUUUUGGGAUACAUUUCAAGGUAGCUCGCAGGCAUCAGUAAACUUCCUUUAACUGGUGAAACAGCACGGAUAUCAUUAACUGGAGUUUGACAUCUUCUAGGAGUAUUUUUUUCCUGUUUAUGUAAAUGGGGUCUAAUUUCAUGUCAUAAAAGCUGUGGCAUAGUAUGCUAUUUUGUGUGUGUGCUUUUUUGCUACUGGAGUGAUGAAGCUCUUUUCCAACUAAUUCUCAUGCAGAAGCUGGCAUGUGAAACAGGUACAAGCAGAGCUUCUCUGGAUGAAAAGGAAAUGGGUGCGGAGUGCCAGCUCCUGAGCCCCUCUCUCCUUCCCUAGUCACCCCUGAGGCUUCUCACAGAACAUCUCAGCUGCCAUGAACUAUUAACAUUGGGUGCACUUCUUAACCUCAUGAACUUCAGUGUGAUCAUCUAUAAAAGAGGGCUUUGGAAAUAGCUGUUUUCUCAGGCCCUUUUGAAGCUGUGCUCUUCUCCCAUUCCAGUGAUGUUAAAAUAUUGAAAAUUUUGUAGACUUUUACCUUCACAAAUCUUGCAGCAGAAAGUUUUCUCUUGUUUUAAUUAGCUCAAUGCAAGAAGCCACAUUUAAGACUGUGCAUCUGAAUGCCUGAAGUAAAAACCACAGUCACAAGGGAUGUGUGUGGAAUGGAAGAAAACUGGAAAAACAAGAACCUGACCUGAAUGGAUGGCCAAAUACUGCAGCUGCCCAUGCAGGUGUGUAUCCACGCCAGAUAGACACAGAGCUGGAAGAAGAUGGGGUGUGAUUGGAACCGCUCUGGGUUGGUUUCAGUGAUCUCACGGCAGUCAUCACUACAUAGCUGUUGGAGCCCACACCACGGCUUGACACGAGUGUGCACACGCAGUCGAAGCCACCCUUAAUGCUUGCUGUUCUGCGUCCUUUGAUGUCUCUUGCUCAGCAGUCCAGCUAUUACAGUAAGUGGUUAAUGUGUGCUCCGGUAUUGUUGUGGUAUCAUUUGGAUGAUUGCAUGCUGGGCCGCGCAAGUCAGAGGCAGCAAAUGCAUUAAAGGCUCAUCGUUAUCGGCUUGCUGGGGAUGCAGUUGAUGGAAUGGUGGUAAACCUCAGAUGUUCCGCUGAGGCACAAUCCUAUUUGUGCUCUUUCCUUUACCCCGUCCCUUCUCCUCAUGUUCUGUCCCUCAUAAAGGCUGUUUCUCUAUUGUUUGAUGCAAAUGUGUAGCCUGGCUGUUUUUCCAGUCUUGCCCUGACCCCCUGGGAACAUAGGAAUACAAAUUGGUGAAGAUAUUGUUACUGGCUUUCAAAUGAGAAAGGGUUUGGGGCACUGUAGUAACGGGUCAGAGGUGCUUUGCUUUUUGUUGUUGUUGUUGUUGUUGAGAUGGAGUAUUGCUCUGUCACCAGGCUGGAGCAC
Long non-coding RNA from Sapajus apella (tufted capuchin), 2766 nucleotides. RefSeq lists it as uncharacterized. The record is from RefSeq and is a predicted model, not a curated record. Lineage: Eukaryota; Metazoa; Chordata; Mammalia; Primates; Cebidae. The transcript is spliced from 3 exons.